CCGGGGCCGGCUGGGCAGGGCUCUGUGCCCCGGCAGUCACUGCACAGGGGCAGGGGACACCUCGGUGAGGUCACCUGGGUCACACCUGGAGCUCUGUGCCUGCUGCGGCCCCUCCCGUGUCCCUGGAGCUGGCGGAGUGUGGGGACAGUGACAGCGCUGGAAUCGCUGCUCUGCUCCACUGAGCCCUGCCAUGGAGCCAGGGGAAGGCUGGGGCUGGAAAGGACCUUGGAGCUGACACAGAGCAUCCAGCACAGCCCAACCUCAGCCCCUCCCAGCCCCUCAGGCAGCUUUGGCGUCCCUGAGGGACAGCAGGGCCACCCGGGCCAGCUCCUGAGCCCUUCCCCAGGGGAUGGGAGCCUCCCGUUCCUCUCUGCCUGGAGAAGUUCCAGCACAGAACCCUCAGCCUCAGCCCAGGAGAUCCCACAGGGUCCCGGGAGGCUGCAAAACCCCUCUGAGAUGAUGGAGCCCAACCAUCCUACCAGCCCUGCCAGGGCCACCAGUGCCCCGUGUCCCCAAGGGCCACCCCCGCAGGUUUCCAUCCCGCAGUGCCCGGGGAGCUGCUCCCAGGGGGGAGGGAGCCCUGCUGGGCUCUGCUGCUCCUUCCCCACCCAAAACUCCACCCUGGUGUUUGUCCCCGCGCCGGCUCCGAGCGGCAGCAGCAGAAUCCUGGAGCACAGCGAGUUCUCUGCGAUAUAAUUCUCUUUAAUCUUUUAAGCAUUUGACAGUAUUUGCUUGAAAGAAGAAGCAACAAGUACAUAAUUAUUGCACUAAUUAAGCUGCCAAAACACAAGCAUGCUGCAAGAGCACCUUUGAAACAGUGAGCUCUCGAUUCAUUAGCAUCUGCUGUAAGCUUAUUAAUCACCUAACAGGCAAUUAGCAAGCUGUUACUGUUUGAGACUAGUAUGUAAAUAAAUUCUUGGGUUAAUUUCUUCCUCUGAUAAUAAAGAAAACAUUAUGAAAAUUA
Catharus ustulatus (Swainson's thrush) is the source of this 964-nucleotide long non-coding RNA. RefSeq lists it as uncharacterized. The transcript has 2 exons. NCBI's taxonomy places the organism in Eukaryota, Metazoa, Chordata, Aves, Passeriformes, Turdidae. The record is from RefSeq and is a predicted model, not a curated record.